AUUGAACGCUGGCGGCAGGCCUAACACAUUCAAGUCGAACGAGUGGCGGAAGGGUGAGUAAUGUCUGGGAAACUGCCCGAUGGACGGGGAUAACUCCUGGAAACGGUAGCUACUACCGCAUACCCUCGGAUGUGCCCACAUGGGAUUAGCUAGUAGGUGUGGUAAUGGAUCACCUAGGAGACGAUCCCUAGCUGGUAGGAGAGGAUGACCAGCCACACUGGAACGGAGACACGGUCCAGACUCCUACGGGAGGCAGCAGUGGGGAAUAUUGCACAAUGGGCGCAAGACUGAUGCAGCCAUGCCGCGUGUAUGAAGAAGGCCUUCGGGUUGUAAAGUACUUUCAGCGAGGAGGGGUUACUCGCAGAAGAAGCACCGGCUAACUCCGUGCCAGCAGCCGCGGUAAUUC
This 406-nucleotide ribosomal RNA is filed under the name uncultured bacterium. RNAcentral describes it as "partial 16S ribosomal RNA". It matches the Rfam family "Bacterial small subunit ribosomal RNA", at positions 30 to 526 of the family's 1533-position model. The record is from RNAcentral.